GGGGAAUAUUGCACAAUGGGCGAAAGCCUGAUGCAGCGACGCCGCGUGAGCGAUGAAGGCCUUCGGGUCGUAAAGCUCUGUCCUAAGGGAAGAAUAAUGACGGUACCUUAGGAGGAAGCCCCGGCUAACUACGUGCCAGCAGCCGCGGUAAUACGUAGGGGGCAAGCGUUAUCCGGAAUCACUGGGCGUAAAGGGUGCGUAGGCGGCUCUUCAAGUCAGGGGUGAAAGGCUACGGCUCAACCGUAGUAAGCCUUUGAAACUGUAGAGCUUGAGUGCAGGAGAGGAGAGUGGAAUUCCUAGUGUAGCGGUGAAAUGCGUAGAUAUUAGGAGGAACACCAGUGGCGAAGGCGACUCUCUGGACUGUAACUGACGCUGAGGCACGAAAGCGUGGGGAGCAAAC
RNAcentral lists this ribosomal RNA (400 nucleotides) under uncultured bacterium. RNAcentral's name for it is "bacterial SSU rRNA". It matches the Rfam family "Bacterial small subunit ribosomal RNA", at positions 356 to 773 of the family's 1533-position model. The record is from RNAcentral.